This 468-nucleotide ribosomal RNA is filed under the name uncultured bacterium. Its description in RNAcentral is "partial 16S ribosomal RNA". It matches the Rfam family "Bacterial small subunit ribosomal RNA", at positions 28 to 507 of the family's 1533-position model. The record is from RNAcentral.
GACGAACGCUGGCGGCGUGCUUAACACAUGCAAGUCGAACGGAAAGGCCCUGCUUUUGUGGGGUGCUCGAGUGGCGAACGGGUGAGUAACACGUGAGUAACCUGCCCUUGACUUUGGGAUAACUUCAGGAAACUGGGGCUAAUACCGGAUAGGAGCUCCUGCUGCAUGGUGGGGGUUGGAAAGUUUCGGCGGUUGGGGAUGGACUCGCGGCCUAUCAGCUUGUUGGUGGGGUAGUGGCUUACCAAGGCUUUGACGGGUAGCCGGCCUGAGAGGGUGACCGGCCACAGUGGGACUGAGAUACGGCCCAGACUACUACGGGAGGCAGCAGUGGGGAAUAUUGCACAAUGGGCGGAAGCCUGAUGCAGCAACGCCGCGUGCGGGAUGACGGCCUUCGGGUUGUAAACCGCUUUCGCCUGUGACGAAGCGUGAGUGACGGUAAUGGGUAAAGAAGCACCGGCUAACUACGUG